GAGGACUCAACUGAAUGGAACCCUGAGCUUUGGAAUUGCCAGGAAAUAAUGCAAAAAUCUCAAAUGAGCACAAGCUAUAAGAGUGCAAUGUUGAAAGUGUGGGGUUUGCACUCACAGAAGUUGAGAGGUCGAUGUGAGAACAACACAAGGCCUACUGUGAGCCAUAAUCCUGGAAAAAGAUGUGGUAUUAGGAAGCAAGACUUUGCUGGCUAUGGCCUGUCUCACCACACACACCAAACCCAUUCUGUCCAUCAUCCUGUCCUGUUUUCAAAGAAUUCUUUAUUAGUUGGCUGUAUCAUGAGUUCAAGAAAAGCAC
This 316-nucleotide long non-coding RNA is filed under the name Cricetulus griseus (Chinese hamster). RNAcentral's name for it is "lncRNA (ENSCGRG00015038150.1)". The record is from RNAcentral. Lineage: Eukaryota; Metazoa; Chordata; Mammalia; Rodentia; Cricetidae.